RNAcentral lists this ribosomal RNA (459 nucleotides) under uncultured bacterium. RNAcentral describes it as "bacterial SSU rRNA". It matches the Rfam family "Bacterial small subunit ribosomal RNA", at positions 923 to 1379 of the family's 1533-position model. The record is from RNAcentral.
GCACAAGCGGUGGAGCAUGUGGUUCAAUUCGAAGCAACGCGCAGAACCUUACCAGCCCUUGACAUCCCGGUCGCGGGAACCAGAGAUGGAUCCCUUCAGUUCGGCUGGACCGGAGACAGGUGCUGCAUGGCUGUCGUCAGCUCGUGUCGUGAGAUGUUGGGUUAAGUCCCGCAACGAGCGCAACCCUCGCCCUUAGUUGCCAUCAUUCAGUUGGGCUCUCUAAGGGGACUGCCGGUGAUAAGCCGCGAGGAAGGUGGGGAUGACGUCAAGUCCUCAUGGCCCUUACGGGCUGGGCUACACACGUGCUACAAUGGCGGUGACAGUGGGAUGCAAUGGGGCAACCCUGCGCAAAUCUCCAAAAGCCGUCUCAGUUCGGAUUGUGCUCUGCAACUCGAGCACAUGAAGUUGGAAUCGCUAGUAAUCGUGGAUCAGCACGCCACGGUGAAUACGUUCCCGGGC